CUAAGGAAUAGUACGGAAGACUACACAUCGUUUGCCUUUGUUCAGUUUUGAGAGGUUUACUCUCAAAAUAGUUUGUUCAUUGAAAACUGGAUAUCGAAGAAAAUCAAAACAAGUAACACACACCGAGUGGACAAGUUAAAGAGUUUUUUAAUAAGUUCAACGCUUAUUUUCUUGAGCAACCUUCUAUCGCUAGAAGAAGUACUCACCGACCGUAAGGUCAAA
RNAcentral lists this unclassified non-coding RNA (222 nucleotides) under Enterococcus gallinarum. RNAcentral's name for it is "partial 16S-23S ribosomal RNA intergenic spacer". Lineage: Bacteria; Bacillati; Bacillota; Bacilli; Lactobacillales; Enterococcaceae. The record is from RNAcentral.